UCGAAAUCGGGUGACGCUACGGACUUAAAAAAUCCGUUGGAUUUAUUAACCAUGAGGGUUCAAGUCCC
RNAcentral lists this transfer RNA (68 nucleotides) under Orthotrichum pallens. Its description in RNAcentral is "partial tRNA-Leu". The record is from RNAcentral. Lineage: Eukaryota; Viridiplantae; Streptophyta; Bryopsida; Orthotrichales; Orthotrichaceae.